UCCAACCAGAACUAUUUAACCCAACUCCAACACAAUGGAUUACCCGAUUACUUUUUGAGUUUUGACUUUAAUGCCUAAAUUAUAUUUAUUUUUUUAAAGAUACAAACUCAAAAAAAAAACCCAGAGGUUUCGUUUGUUGAGAGCCUCGACUACUUCGUCAAGCGAAACCCAAACUCUCAAAAUGAUUUCGUCGUCGCUCCGUUUCGUCGAUCCCAUCACCGAUGUUCCUCCGUCAAUCCCAUCGCCGAUGCUGCUCCGUCGAUCACGUCACUUUGCCUCCCUUUUUGUGGUAUUGGUCGCAUGUUGAGAACUGCAGCAGCUGCAAGGAAGCUCACAAAUAUCUCAAUGCGCUAGAGGUGAUCUUACAAAUCGCAUCAGUUGCUAUGAUCGGAGCUAUGGCCGUGAUGAACCAGACCACAUUGUCAAAGGUAGCAAGAAUUGCAGUGCUUUGUGGCGGCUGUUUUGAGUUUUGCUGCUUCGAAGUGACUAUCACACUUCAUCUACAAGACAUUCCAUUACCAUGACUACAACCAUGCUCUUGUUUGAAAUGUAUAUUGUUGCACGUAUACACUCUAUAAAUAUAUUCACUCCACAUGGUGUACAUAAUACUUAUAUAGAAGAAACUAAUUUGUGAACUCUACACGUUUGUUUCAUUCAUAAAUCCAAAAGCCAGAGACACAUGACUAUUUAUUUA
This is a long non-coding RNA of Capsella rubella, 694 nucleotides long. RefSeq lists it as uncharacterized. The record is from RefSeq and is a predicted model, not a curated record. Lineage: Eukaryota; Viridiplantae; Streptophyta; Magnoliopsida; Brassicales; Brassicaceae. The transcript is spliced from 2 exons.